RNAcentral lists this ribosomal RNA (418 nucleotides) under uncultured bacterium. RNAcentral's name for it is "bacterial SSU rRNA". It matches the Rfam family "Bacterial small subunit ribosomal RNA", at positions 355 to 774 of the family's 1533-position model. The record is from RNAcentral.
UAAGGAAUAUUGGUCAAUGGACGCAAGUCUGAACCAGCCAUGCCGCGUGAAGGAUGGAGGUCCUCUGGAUUGUAAACUUCUUUUAUCUGGGACGAAAACGGGAUUUUUAUCUCAAUUGACGGUACCAGAGGAAUAAGCACCGGCUAACUCCGUGCCAGCAGCCGCGGUAAUACGGAGGGUGCGAGCGUUAUCCGGAUUUACUGGGUUUAAAGGGCGCGCAGGCGGGAUAAAAGUCAGUGGUGAAAUCCUACAGCUUAACUGUAGAACUGCCUUUGAUACUUUUAUUCUUGAGUUCGGGAGAGAGACGGAAUUCCAGGUGUAGUGGUGAAAUACGUAGAUAUCUGGAAGAACACCAGUUGCGAAGGCGGUCUCUUGGUCCGACACUGACGCUUAGGCGCGAAAGCGUGGGGAGCAAACA